This 90-nucleotide non-coding RNA is filed under the name pig gut metagenome. RNAcentral describes it as "TPP riboswitch (THI element)". It matches the Rfam family "TPP riboswitch aptamer (THI element)", at positions 9 to 90 of the family's 105-position model. From Rfam's summary of the family: Vitamin B(1) in its active form thiamin pyrophosphate (TPP) is an essential coenzyme that is synthesised by coupling of pyrimidine and thiazole moieties in bacteria. The previously detected thiamin-regulatory element, thi box was extended, resulting in a new, highly conserved RNA secondary structure, the THI element, which is widely distributed in eubacteria and also occurs in some archaea. Analysis of operon structures identified a large number of new candidate thiamin-regulated genes, mostly transporters, in various prokaryotic organisms. The record is from RNAcentral.
CCGCAGGGGAGUCCGUGUGCCGGGCUGAGAGGAAGCCAUAGCUUCGACCCUUUGAACCUGAUUUGGGUCAUGCCAACGAAGGGACGCACA